GAUGAACGCUGGCGGCGUGCCUAAUACAUGCAAGUCGAGCGAACAGAUAAGGAGCUUGCUCCUUUGACGUUAGCGGCGGACGGGUGAGUAACACGUGGGUAACCUACCUAUAAGACUGGGAUAACUUCGGGAAACCGGAGCUAAUCCCGGAUAAUAUUUCGAACCGCAUGGUUCGAUAGUGAAAGAUGGUUUUGCUAUCACUUAUAGAUGGACCCGCGCCGUAUUAGCUAGUUGGUAAGGUAACGGCUUACCAAGGCGACGAUACGUAGCCGACCUGAGAGGGUGAUCGGCCACACUGGAACUGAGACACGGUCCAGACUCCUACGGGAGGCAGCAGUAGGGAAUCUUCCGCAAUGGGCGAAAGCCUGACGGAGCAACGCCGCGUGAGUGAUGAAGGUCUUCGGAUCGUAAAACUCUGUUAUUAGGGAAGAACAUACGUGUAAGUAACUGUGCACGUCUUGACGGUACCUAAUCAGAAAGCCACGGCUAACUACGUG
RNAcentral lists this ribosomal RNA (497 nucleotides) under uncultured bacterium. RNAcentral's name for it is "partial 16S ribosomal RNA". It matches the Rfam family "Bacterial small subunit ribosomal RNA", at positions 28 to 507 of the family's 1533-position model. The record is from RNAcentral.